AGGUUACUGCUAUCGAGGUUCGACUAAGCCAUGCGAGUCGAAUGUAGCAAUACAUGGCGUACUGCUCAGUAACACGUGGACAACCUACCCUUAGGCCUGGGAUAACCCCGGGAAACUGGGAAUAAUACCGGAUAUCUCGCGAAUGCUGGAAUGCGUCGCGAUAGAAAGCUCCGGCGCCUAAGGAUGGGUCUGCGGCCUAUCAGGGUAGUAGUGGGUGUAACGUACCUACUAGCCUACGACGGGUACGGGUUGUGAGAGCAAGAGCCCGGAGAUGGAUUCUGAGACACGAAUCCAGGCCCUACGGGGUGCAGCAGGCGCGAAAACUUUACAAUGCUGGAAACAGCGAUAAGGGGACCUCGAGUGCCAGGAUACAAUCCUGGCUGUCGUAAUGCCUAAAAAGCAUUGCAUAGCAAGGGCCGGGCAAGACCGGUGCCAGCCGCCGCGGUAACACCGGCGGCUCGAGUGGUAACCGCUAUUAUUGGGUCUAAAGGGUCUGUAGCCGGCUGACUAAGUCUCUUGGGAAAUCUGACAGCUUAACUGUCAGGCUUUCAGGAGAUACUGAUCGGCUCGAGACCGGGAGAGGUGAGAGGUACCUCAGGGGUAGGGGUGAAAUCUUGUAAUCCUUGAGGGACCACCAGUGGCGAAGGCGUCUCACCAGAACGGAUCUGACGGCAAGGGACGAAAGCUAGGGGCACGAACCGGAUUAGAUACCCGGGUAGUCCUAGCCGUAAACGAUACUCGCUAGGUGUCGGCCACGGUGCGACCGUGGUCGGUGCCGUAGGGAAGCCGUGAAGCGAGCCACCUGGGAAGUACGGCCGCAAGGCUGGAACUUAA
RNAcentral lists this ribosomal RNA (834 nucleotides) under uncultured archaeon. RNAcentral describes it as "bacterial SSU rRNA". It matches the Rfam family "Archaeal small subunit ribosomal RNA", at positions 21 to 859 of the family's 1478-position model. The record is from RNAcentral.